This 491-nucleotide ribosomal RNA is filed under the name uncultured bacterium. RNAcentral's name for it is "partial 16S ribosomal RNA". It matches the Rfam family "Bacterial small subunit ribosomal RNA", at positions 30 to 507 of the family's 1533-position model. The record is from RNAcentral.
AGUGAACGCUGGCGGUAGGCCUAACACAUGCAAGUCGAACGGCAGCACAGUAAGAGCUUGCUCUUACGGGUGGCGAGUGGCGGACGGGUGAGGAAUACAUCGGAAUCUACUUUUUCGUGGGGGAUAACGUAGGGAAACUUACGCUAAUACCGCAUACGACCUACGGGUGAAAGCAGGGGAUCUUCGGACCUUGCGCGAUUGAAUGAGCCGAUGUCGGAUUAGCUAGUUGGCGGGGUAAAGGCCCACCAAGGCGACGAUCCGUAGCUGGUCUGAGAGGAUGGUCAGCGACACAGGAAGUGAGAGACGGGACAGGGACCGAGGGGAGGCAGCGGUGGGGAAGGGUGGACGAUGGGCGGAAGCCUGAUCCAGGCAUGCCGGGUGGGUGAAGAAGGGCUGCGGGUUGUAAAGCCGUUUUGUUGGGAAGGAAAGCAGCAGGUUAAGACCCCGCGGUUCUGACGGUACCGAAAGAAUAAGCACCGGCUAACUUCGUG